CCUACGGGAGGCAGCAGUGAGGAAUAUUGGUCAAUGGGCGCGAGCCUGAACCAGCCAAGUCGCGUGAAGGAAGACUGCCCUACGGGUUGUAAACUUCUUUUAUCAAGGAGCAAAGUGGGCCACGUGUGCCGUUUUGUAUGUACUUUAUGAAUAAGGAUCGGCUAACUCCGUGCCAGCAGCCGCGGUAAUACGGAGGAUCCGAGCGUUAUCCGGAUUUAUUGGGUUUAAAGGGUGCGUAGGUGGGUUGUUAAGUCAGUUGUGAAAGUUUGCGGCUCAAACGUAGUAUUGCAGUUGAUACUGGCGGUCUUGAGUACAGUCGAGGUAGGCGGAAUUCGUGGUGUAGCGGUGAAAUGCAUAGAUAUCACGAAGAACUCCGAUUGCGAAGGCAGCUUACUAGUCUGCGACUGACGUUGAGGCUCGAAAGUGUGGGUAUCGAACAGGAUUAGAUACCCGUGUAGUC
This 460-nucleotide ribosomal RNA is filed under the name uncultured bacterium. Its description in RNAcentral is "partial 16S ribosomal RNA". It matches the Rfam family "Bacterial small subunit ribosomal RNA", at positions 338 to 795 of the family's 1533-position model. The record is from RNAcentral.